UUUGAGGCGACCACUCGAGUCACCGUCUUACCCGCGUCGAUGGCUCGGGCAUUCCCAAACCGGAACGCCGAGGGAUCGAGUCGGCUCCUCCUCCUCAUAGCCGCCAACAUGCUCAUCGCGUCGUGCGUCUCCGUCACUCGCUCCCUCCCCACCCGGCUCUCUUACGCCCCUCGCCAUCUCUGCCUCCUCGCCGCCGCCUCCCCCAAACCCGUCCAGAACAAAUCCUUUCCUUGCCCUCUUUGGUCCGCCUCCUUCUCCUUCUGCCUCGACCGCCGCCCGAAAUCCACCACCUCCUCUGCCGCCCCCCCGCCCUCUUCCAUGGCCUUCGCUGCCGACAGCCUUGAUUCGAACCCCCUCCUCCACGACUUCGCCUUCCCCCCCUUCGAUGUGGUCGAGCCGAAACACGUCCGCCCCGGGAUCCGCGAGCUCUUGAGGAAACUCGAGAGCGAUCUGGAGAAUCUGGAGAGGACGGUGGAGCCGACAUGGCCGAGGCUGGUGGUGCCGCUGGAGAAGAUCAUGGAUCGACUUCAGGUGGUCUGGGGAAUCGUGAACCAUCUGAAGUCCGUCAAGGAUUCGCCGGAGCUCCGAUCUGCUAUCGAGGAAGUCCAGCCAGAGAAAGUGAAGUUUCAGCUGAGGCUGGGACAAAGUAAGCCUAUAUAUGAUGCAUUUAAGGCGAUUCAAAAUUCUUCAUCAUGGUCAACCCUAAGCGAUGCCCGUAAACGUAUAGUGGAAGCUCAGAUCAAGGAAGCUGUUCUUAGCGGUGUUGCCCUUGAAGAUGAACAGAGAAAGAAGUUUAAUGAAAUUGAACAAGAGCUUGAAAAACUAUCUCAAAAGUUUAGUGAAAAUGUUUUGGAUGCUACAAAAAAAUUCGAGAAAUUAAUUACUGAUAAGAAGGAAAUCGAAGGAUUGCCAGCUACUGCACUUGGUCUGGCAGCACAGACCGCUGCGUUAAAGGGUCAUGAAAAUGCUUCUGCUGAAAAUGGGCCAUGGAUGAUUACUUUAGAUGCUCCAAGUUAUAUUCCUGUCAUGCAACAUGCAAAGAACCGCUCUUUGCGGGAAGAAGUUUAUCGUGCUUACGUCAUGCGGGCAUCUAGCGGAGAUCUUGAUAACACUCCUAUUAUUGGUCAAAUUCUCAAAUUGAGGCUGGAAAAGGCUAAAAUUCUUGGAUACAAGAACUAUGCUGAGGUCAGCAUGGCAAUGAAAAUGGCCACAGUUGAUCGUGCAGCAGAGCUUCUCGAGAAAUUGCGUAGUGCUUCUUGGGAUCCUGCUGUUCAAGAUAUGGAAGACCUUAAGACUUUUGCUGGAAAUGCUGGUGCUGCCGAAGCUAAUCAAUUGACCCAUUGGGAUAUUACGUUCUGGAGUGAAAGGUUACGGGAGUCAAAGUAUGACAUAAAUGAGGAGGAACUGCGGCCAUAUUUCUCACUGCCAAAGGUUAUGGAUGGUCUUUUUGGCCUUGCUAAGAAGCUUUUUGAUAUUAAUAUUGAAACAGCAGAUGGGCUAGCACCGGUUUGGAAUAAUGAUGUUAAAUUUUACUCUGUCAAAGAUUCUUCAAACAAUCCAAUUGCCUACUUCUACUUUGAUCCUUAUUCACGGCCUUCUGAAAAGCGUGGUGGAGCUUGGAUGGAUGAGGUGUUUGCUCGUAGUUAUGUACUUGCACGUGAUGGUGCUCCUGUUAGGUUGCCUAUUGCACAUAUGGUGUGCAAUCAAACACCACCUGUUGGUGACAAACCUAGUCUAAUGACAUUCCGUGAGGUUGAGACUGUGUUCCAUGAAUUUGGUCAUGCACUUCAGCAUAUGCUUACUAAACAAGAUGAAGGGCUAGUUGCGGGAAUUCGGGGUAUAGAAUGGGAUGCGGUUGAGCUUCCAUCACAGUUCAUGGAAAACUGGUGCUAUCAUAGGAAUACUCUUAUGAGCAUUGCAAAGCAUUAUGAAACUGGUGAACCUCUUCCAGAAGAAGUGUAUCAGAGGCUUGUUGCUGCUAAAACAUUUCGUGCUGGCUCUCUGAGUCUUCGCCAGAUAAGAUUUUCCAGUGUAGAUCUGGAACUUCAUACCAAAUAUAUUCCCAAUGGACCUGAAUCUAUCUUUGAUAUCGAUCAAAGAGUUGGAAGAAUGACACAAGUUAUCCCUGUCCUUCCAGAGGAUAGGUUUCUUUGCAGUUUUAGUCAUAUAUUUGCAGGUGGAUAUGCAGCUGGAUACUACAGUUACAAGGAUUUAUCUCCAAACAUAUCUACUGUUCAGUGGGCUGAGGUGUUGUCAGCAGAUGCUUUUUCAGCUUUUGAGGAUGCUGGAUUAGACAGUGAUAAGACCAUCAGGGAAACUGGUCACAGGUUUCGGGAAACCAUUCUUGCACUUGGAGGUGGAAGAUCUCCACUUGAGGUCUUUGUUGAGUUCCGAGGCCGCGAACCUUCACCAGAACCGCUGCUUAGACACAAUGGCCUGCUGCCAGUACCUGCCUCUGCUUGAUCCAUGACCGUUGGACGAACAUGUUUCAAGAAUUGUCGACAAUUGAUUCAGUGCACCUGGUGCAUCUCCCGAAAAACUUUCACAAAAACAAUAAGGCAAAAGGGUUUAUCCACAUGGUUGCCGUGGUUCGAUGGCAGAAUCGAAACCGUGAUUAAGUGUGUAAGGCUUUCCUCUUCCGCGUUGUGGUCUCUUCUAUUACCUCUCGUUAUCUUGGUUUCUUUAUAUGCCUUGCUUCUUUC
Molecule: RNA transcript, 2702 nt
Organism: Musa acuminata AAA Group (dessert banana)
Lineage: Eukaryota; Viridiplantae; Streptophyta; Magnoliopsida; Zingiberales; Musaceae
Gene name: probable cytosolic oligopeptidase A
Exons: 18
Source: RefSeq, a predicted model, not a curated record